Non-coding RNA from Drosophila melanogaster (fruit fly), 92 nucleotides. Its record names the gene mir-927. NCBI's taxonomy places the organism in Eukaryota, Metazoa, Arthropoda, Insecta, Diptera, Drosophilidae. The record is from Ensembl.
UGGUUGCUGUAGAGUUUUAGAAUUCCUACGCUUUACCGUGGCAUACGAAAUUCGGCAAAGCGUUUGGAUUCUGAAACCCUACCGAUCCAUUA